AUUUCAACGACGUUUGUUACUUUGUUACAACAAAAGCGCUCUUUUAUCUCUUCUGGAUAAUAUUUAGGCCAAAUGAGAGACAGUCCUGCCCUGACAUGUACCUGAAGAUUUGUAAGAAGCACAAAAAAACAGGAGCAGAUAUGGAUACAUCUCCACCGAAACUUGACCAGGUUUCUCUCAGCCGAUGGGACUCCAGUGGAACCUGCGGCUGCUCUGAGCGUCUUCCUACAGUCAGAGCUUUUAACCCGUCGGAUGGCGGUUAGCGGUGGCCGCAGGUGCUCCCUUUACCUGCACGAAAAACUGGCUGAGCACUCCAGCAAUCCUCAAACACACACACACACACAAUACCCAGACAUCCUUUUGUUCUUCAACACACAGUGAGCUCUGGCGGAGAUAUAAACCUGUCUGUAUCCUAAAAUGAACUGUCUCUCUUUGUCUCUCUCAUAUUAAAAAAUAAAUAAAAAUCAUUCAAUUUCUGUUGUGAAUGAGUGUCCA
Molecule: long non-coding RNA, 495 nt
Filed under: Sinocyclocheilus rhinocerous
Lineage: Eukaryota; Metazoa; Chordata; Actinopteri; Cypriniformes; Cyprinidae
Description: lncRNA (ENSSRHG00000035793.1)
Source: RNAcentral